Homo sapiens (human) is the source of this 4746-nucleotide long non-coding RNA. Ensembl annotates it as ATP1A1 antisense RNA 1. Its record names the gene ATP1A1-AS1. The record is from Ensembl. NCBI's taxonomy places the organism in Eukaryota, Metazoa, Chordata, Mammalia, Primates, Hominidae.
AGAGACGAAUCCGCGCUCCCCCAGGCUGUCGCGCGAGCUCCCCGGAAGCUCCCACCUGAGCGGCGCAUCCUCAGGGCCUGGGCCUGGCCUCCUUGCCUGUGAGAUGGCACUGUGACGGUGCCCACCUCGUGGGGUGUGUGAGGGCCGAGUGAAAUCGUGCAUUUGCGGAAAUGCCCAUGACCUUCAUCGCAGCAGCGUAUGUGCGUUGGUCUUCUCCAGGGAUGCCGAAAGUAGACAUACAGGGAGUCGCAGUACGGAUACCACCAGUGCCAGCCUGACCUCACAAGAGACGUCUUGUGUGACUGGCCCUGCCGUCACAGCUGGGCCAGUAAAGUACCUUCCAGGAGGCUCCAGUUGCUACCUGACUCACAACCUUCUAAUCCCAUGAUCUUUUAGUUCUAGUUUCCUUAUCUUGGUCUGAGCAAAUGGCUCAUUUUAAAGAUGACUUGCAGACAAAUGUAGAGAUCAUCCCAGGGGAAAGUGCCCCAAGAAAGGAGAGUCCAAGACCACCUGCCCCUCCCAGUUCUGCGGCUGGAGUGGGUGGGUGCAGCAACCACAGCCCCAGUGUACAGGAGUCACCACUGUCUCCUCCCGCAUUGGCCCAGCUUGGAAGUGCACAGCAACCAAGCAUGAGGACUGAGUUAAGCUUUUCGGAGAAAAAAGACACUAUGAUCAUCUGGCAGAUCACGAUCACUGUUUGGUGCCAGAGGUAAGGAGUUUGCUUGUUGUGUUUGCUUGGAGGCGACAGUUGGCAAUGACAGCCUGGGAGAAGCACCGGCAGUUAACAGCACUCUGCACCACUCAUGGCUGAGACUGAGGGGAGCCUUUUACAGCAGCUCUGAAAGCAGGAGGUGUUCUCAGACUUGACCCUGAAGUAAACACAUCUCUUUCACCUUUUUCUUAAGUGCUUGCUGGCACAUAACCACUUGCUGAAAUUGUGUCAUUGAUGCUAAAUUAGGAACACAUUAUAUGGAAGGAAGGGAACCACUUCUCAGCACACAUGCCCAGGCAGACUGUGUGGGAUAGAUUUCUGCUUCUCAGAUAAGCCCUGGGCUAGAGACACUUGAGAUGUGGUGGUGAUCUCUGGAGGGAAAGCAGGAAGGCUUCAGGUCUCUUUUAGACUGAAAGAGAAGGGCCUCAUCUGCAGUUUAGUAUACUCUGAGGGUCUGGAAAUCCUUUAGGCGAGGUGCUCUUCCAUCAAAAAGCCAGAUGCUAAGGCAGCAGGUGGAGUUACAGCCCUAUCACCCCAGGCAGCAGCCAGAAAAAAUGGGUCAGGUAAACUCACCUACUCCAACUAAAAGAGCACGGGCAGAAUGCUUCCUCUUAGCCAGUGGUUUCCAAACUUGAAUGUAAAUCAAAAUCACCUGAGGGCUUAUUAAGCCACAUUGCUGAUGCAUUUCUGACUCAGUGGGUCUGGGCCCGCCUUCCUAGCAAGCAACCAGGUGAUGCUGAUAAACUGCUGGUCAGGGACUCAUGUUGAAAACCACAGCUCCAGAUCACAUAGACAUCUGUACCAAAGAAGCGACGAGGGCACAGACAAAUUCCAUUAUAAUAGCCAUCUUUAUUUGUAAAAAUCCAGAUAUAAAAUGUAUUCUUUCAGUCUUUCCGGGUGUUCCUUUUUUACAAAAACAAAAAGGCACAUAAAAACCUUCCCCGCUGUCAUUUCCACAGAUGGAUGGUUUUCAGGCAGCCCUCCCCCCUCCCCCCAUAGAGCUACAUGCUUCAUUCCAGGACGUCUUGCUUCCCCACAUGCUGCGGUGCUUUCCUACCAGGGUAGAGUUCCAAACUCCAAGACUGAAGUACACAAAGAGGGGGUGGGUGUCGGAUGCAGAGUGUGUGGCCUGAUGCUCCACGGCGUGCAGGACGGGGGGCUAAUAGUAGGUUUCCUUCUCCACCCAGCCUGUGGGUGGCAAAGAGACAGACAAGACACACUACAGUGAGUCUUCCUCGCUCCAGCAUUACAGAGGGAAACAGGGAUGAAAACCAACCGGAGGAUGAUGGGGGUCGGGUGUGUUAAAAUCCAAACAUGGGACCUCAACUGUACUUAUUUACAUGUUUUUAGGAAUACCAAGUUACCUGGAAAGAUGGUUUAGAUUCUGACAAGUUUUCACUAAAUCAUACUUGGUUUGUAUUUUAAAGUCUAAAACAUGACCAGUCCUCAAACUGUAACUGAGAUCUACAUUCUGAAGAUGUGACUAUGGUCAGUUUGCUGGUCCAGUCACCUUAGCUAAUCAGACUGACCACUGAGGGAGCCUAGACACCUUGAGGGAAACAAAAAACCAAUAGAACUAUAGCCCCUCCCACUCCUCCUCCAACCAAAGUCAGAAUGCCCAUAAUUACCGCCAGGGCGUCGCCUGAUGAUGAGUUUUCUGACUUCGUCAUAUACGAAGAUGAGAAGAGAGUAGGGGAAGGCACAGAACCACCAGGUAGGUCUGGAAAUAGAGUAAGGUACCAAUUUAUAUGCACACGAACACAGUUCAAAUAAAGAAAGAGAAAUUGCACAUCACCAGUGACAAUGAAAUAAUCAGCCUGAAAGGAGAAGCCAAGUACAGUCACAGUUAACUACUGAGUCAUUAACAGAACAAAUAAAAAUGUCUUAAAACAGAUUGCUACUCCAUGUGCCCAGGGCCUAGAGACGCAGAGGAAAUCAGUCUGCAGACUUUGUAAUGGAAUCCCUACUCAUCUUCAGUUUGGAUUUCAUAAGACUUGGUUUAUAGGAUGAGCAGAGUACUUUUCUGUUAACCAUCCCAGAGCAACUGAACAUUUUCUUUCUUUCAUUUCUAAAGUGUUUAAGAAGCUUUUUAAGACCAUCUGCCUAAUAUCCCAGCAUUUUGAAGAUAAAGACCUGCCAGUGUGGGUCAAAACCAGUUUAUGCAUUCCCCAAAUUUGAUCUCUGACAACAGCAUUUGGGAUAUCAGCUCUGUGUUCUGAGGCCUGGUCCUGGGGACUGAAAAAAGCUGAGCCCGAAGGCUUCCAAGGGGCCUGGAGGCUGAGCCACACAGUCUCUAGCCUGCUGACAGGCUCCAGGCAGCCUCCGUGAUCACCAGCUCCCUGCUAUGGUGUGAGAAAGGCUGUCCCUGGGCAGGACUCCGGUGGUCUCCUCUUCUUCCUGUGUGUCUGACAAGGCAGCUAAGAGAGAUGAUCUCAUUUGACUCAGUCACCGAAUAACUGAACCACCUUCCAAAAUUGGGCAGAACCUGUCAGAACAAUCUCUUUGGUGGUGGCAAAAAAACCAGGGAAGGACCCAGAAGAUGGAAAUGCCCCCUUUUCAGUGUAAUUUUCCACCAGCCUUUUUGGAAAGCUCUGUGACCUCUCCAAGCCCCAUCUUGAUACAUAAUGGCCCAAGCUGACAGAAUUCAAUUUGGAGAUGGCUGGCCCCUGCUGUACACCAGCUUUGUGUAGGGAGCUGGGGAUGCACAGAGAAGAAAGACACUGUGGCCCAUGCCUUCUAGAUUAAAACCUAGCAGGGAGGUGAAAUGACAAGCAACAAGUAAUGCCAGAGAAGAGGUGCAAGUGCACAGGCCCUGGAGGGACAAGCUCCAAGGAAACCGGCCCUGAAGGGACUAUCAGGAUUGGCAGGGUAAGAGGGAACAGAAGGAGGGAUGUGGGGAGGAAGGAUCUUACCAAACACAAAGGCAGAGGAAGAAAGCCGAAUUCACCUAACAUGAGCUUGGAUGGGUAAGGGGUACAAGAGAAAGCUAUAAAGACAGGUUGGGACAAUGAGACUGACUCUGGAUGCCAGUCUCAUCUUGCACCACAGACGAUGUCUGCACAUAACCCACAGGAAGUGAAUGAGGCUGAUGGGUUUUGGUUACUUUAGGGAUAAGAUGAGCUGAAGGAAGUGCUGGCAACAGGGGAUUGAGAGAUGGUCCAGACGGGUCUGAGCAAGGAUGAGGACAGCAGGAAUUCAAAGGAGACUAAUGCUUUAAAUCAAAAGCUUCAAAGGAACUUGUAAAUGGGUCCCACAAUCUGUGGCUUUGCACGUUUUAAUCAAGUUGCAGUUGCUUAACCUCAACCAGGUAUCACCAAACAUACUCAAUGUUGCAAAAAACUAACGGAGUUUGUGAUAAACCCUCUUUGAAAAUUCAAGUUUAUCUGAAAUGCAGAGUCAUUCACUGUGUUUAAGGCCAAAGACUAGCAGUAUGCUUCCUUUGAUCAACUCUACCCAUGACUGAUUAUAAAGUAAAAGGGACCUCAGAUCUGUUUCUCCAACCUUCUUUCUUUGAGAGCAGAGUAUUCAGAGUCUCAGAAAGGUGGAUGACUUGUAAUGGGACAGUGACUAAGCAAGCAAAUCAAGAUUUGAGCCUGGGCGCCUACGCUCCAGCAUACCCCCAGUUGGCCUCUAAAGACAACUGGACUACAGCUGUGGCAGACCUGAGUGCUCAAUGCAGUUCGCUGUUGAGCAGUUCCAUGGAGCUAGAGCCUGUGUGGCUUUAUCUUAUCUUGGGCCAAAUCCUAAACACUAGCUGCUAUCAUGGAAGCCUCAGGAUUUGUUAGUCUGAUUUACUGACAUGUCAAGCUUUCACAGUUUUCCAACCCAUAGGAAUUUUUGUACAUACCACUCAAAAUUCUGAAAAUAACAACUAUUACCACAAGUAAUGGGGGGAAAAGCCACACAUACUAUUUCAUACUUUUUGGAGCUACCAGAGGAUCAACUUACUUGAGGGGAUACAUCCUAAGAGCAACACCCAUUCCAGGGCAGUAGGAAAGGAAAGCAGCCAGGGCUGUCUCUUCAAAGAGGCCAAA